AGUAACGUGAUUGGAAUUGGUAUACAGAGCAGCCUUAAAACCUGCGGCUCUUCGGAGCAUGAGGGUUCGAAUCCCUCCGUUACUA
This 85-nucleotide transfer RNA is filed under the name marine bacterium AO1-C. It matches the Rfam family "tRNA". From Rfam's summary of the family: Transfer RNA (tRNA) molecules are approximately 80 nucleotides in length. Their secondary structure includes four short double-helical elements and three loops (D, anti-codon, and T loops). The record is from Rfam by way of RNAcentral. Lineage: Bacteria; Pseudomonadati; Bacteroidota; Cytophagia; Cytophagales; Cytophagaceae.